UAUUAUUGCCAAUAUGGAAGUGUGCAAACUACGGUGGAGACGACAAAAAUGGCGACAACGUACGAUCCCUGCUACCGCAAUCCGUGUCAGAACGGUGGAACGUGUUACCCGAAGAGAGCCUCGUACUGGCCGUACCAAUACACAGAAUACAGCUGUCAGUGUGACUCUUACCACUAUGG
This is a long non-coding RNA of Lingula anatina, 179 nucleotides long. Lineage: Eukaryota; Metazoa; Brachiopoda; Lingulata; Lingulida; Lingulidae. The record is from RefSeq and is a predicted model, not a curated record.